AAGGCUUUAGCUUAAAUUAAAAGCAUCUGUAUUGCACUCAGAAGAUGUUGGGUAUAACUCUGCAAGUCUUA
RNAcentral lists this transfer RNA (71 nucleotides) under Microcaecilia unicolor. It matches the Rfam family "tRNA". Rfam says of the family: Transfer RNA (tRNA) molecules are approximately 80 nucleotides in length. Their secondary structure includes four short double-helical elements and three loops (D, anti-codon, and T loops). The record is from Rfam by way of RNAcentral. Lineage: Eukaryota; Metazoa; Chordata; Amphibia; Gymnophiona; Siphonopidae.